AGAAAAAAAAAUAUAUUUUGCAGUUUUGACGGGAAAUGUAGUUUUGUUUCUUUGGCGGGAGAAUACAUUUUUACGAUUCUAGCAUCUUUAUUCUUAUCCAAUAAAAAUCAACAAAAUAAUAACCCCAAACUACUUUACUUUAACCCCAAUUUUUAUGUAUAAGACAUGUGUUUUAAUUUAAAACUGAAAUCAGUAAUCCAUUAACAUAUGAUUUUGUUUAGAUUUGUAUGUAAAUUUAUAUGCACUAAUUAAAUUAAUAAACUAAAGGUGUGUAUUUCUCUCAUCAUUUCCAUGAACAUUCUUUUCUUAUGGUGCUGUUUUACAUUCAACCAAUAACACACGAUCCGACUUUCUUUUCUUGAAAUUACUAAAGUAAAUUUUUUUCAAAGAAAUUAAUAAAAUAAAUAACAUGACUAAGUGAAUGUUAUUUUUUCCAUCCAGAUAGUCCAUCUAAAUGGGCAUGGGAAUUGAUGUUAGUUUUGUGUUAUGUAAGAUACACACGUAACACAUAAUCCAAAUGAUUGUCCAAAUGAAUUUUAAAAUUUAGCCAAAAAUGAGAUCAUCCAAAUGGCUCAGUCAAAUUGGUACAUUUGAAGAUGAAUCUUUCAGGAAUAGCAAAAUACAACUAUAGCUUUAUGCAAGUAAAAUAUUUGGACCGAAUUUUAGUAAAAAAUAUAUAGAACAAAUAUGUCAAAACUACAAAACUGCAUUUUACUGUCAAAAUUGCAAUUACGUUUUCCACAAAAACUGGAAAACCUUUCAAAUAUUUUUAAUAAACAAAUAUAAAGGUUGCAGGCUUAACUAAGAUCCAGAAAUAAACUAUAAUAUUUUAAAUUUUUCUUAGAUUUUGAUCCGUACUUCAAAACGCAGUUUUUUUUGUUAUGAAACAAAAUUUUAUAUGAAAUAGUAAUUUGAAUUUUUAUACAUUAUUAUAUUUAUAUAGAUAGAUGAAAGGAGAUGUUUUUUAAAAAAAUUGAUCAUUUAUCAGUUAGCUUUUUUGAUAUUUUGUAUGUACAGUUUCAUGUUAUAACGUCAAAAUUGUAUUCUUUUUUAAUAAAUUUUGUUAAAAUUGUCGAUUUAGUGAUACAAAUGAUUGACUUGGCAACUUUUUUACUAUUAAUUUUUAAUGAUUUUGAAAAAUUGUUUAUAAUACACUAAGUUGGCUACCAAAUUUCAAAAAUACAAUUAAUCAAAAAUAAUAUAACAUUUGAAUUUAGGGUUUAGUGAUUAUUGUUUAGGGUUUAGUAUUUAGGGGGCGGGAUUGAAUUUAUAAAUUUCUAUAAAUAUUUUUAAAAUUAUUUUAACAUUUAUAAAUGAUUUAGUAGAGUUACUAUAAUUUUUGUCACAAAUUUAAAAUUUAAAGUAUUUAUGAAAUGGUGUAAGGGUUAAGUUGAAAAGGUAUCUAACUUGUGGUAAAAUUAAAAUUUCUCCUUGAUAUUUUUUUUAAAAUUUGUUUUCUUGAAAUAUUUAUAUGUAACUAUAUAAAGAUAGUUAUAAUGAUAUUUUAAAUUCCUCAUGGUUAAUUUCACAAUCAAUGAUGAUUUCAUUGAUUGAAAUAUUUCACCUAAAUUUCUAUUGUCAUUUAGAGUUUUAUUAAACCAAUAAAGCCGCUGAACAAUUUACUCAAAGUACAUUACAUCUAUAUCUAACCUAUAUUAAAAAGGUUAUAUGAGCAUCAGAGAGUGUGUCCACGUAGGACAAUUAAAUCAUCCAAUCAGAAAGGUUGCUUUGUCCAUGUCACACACGGGAAAAAAAUCUCCAAUUUCUUAUUUUUAAUUCUUAUCAUUUUGGAUGUCUUCAAUGUCACUGGUAAGUCUCUCUCUCUCUCUCUCUCUCUCUCUCUCUCUCUUAAGCGACAGUUUCACCGGAGAAAAUUGAAAAGGCCGAUUAAUUGAUUAAUUUUGUGUUCUUUUUCAUCUUGAGAGGACGAAGUCUUCGUCGAAUGCCGCUUCGAUUUGCGAAACUUCAUAUAUUUGACUCGAUCCAAGAAAAUCCCGAGCAGAGUCAUUGGAAGCAUCACUUCCUCUCGAUUCAUAAGCAGGUGUACAUGCAAAUCAUCAGCAAAUCCCUGAUACAGAGAUUUUAGGAGAGGCUGGUGUUACCGUCUACGCUCGAUGAUGUUGACGACAAGAAGACUCAUUUGUUGUUAAAAAAAAAAUUAGUUGUAACUCAGAUAAAAUGGAUAGUGGUUAGUGGAGAUGACACGUUAGAGCUACACGAGCGUCGAAAAUCUGAAGAAAAUUUCCACAGCCCAAGCUUCUGCCAAUUAUGAAGGUAACGUUGUAUCCUAUUCAGAUUUCAAACCACAGAAACACACUAUUUGAAAAGGUUUUAGUUAGACAUGUUACUAGAGUCUGUGAAUACAUAAAUUAAGCGUGUGGAAGCUUUUUUGGAGACGAUCAGCAACAACACCAUCUCAUAAAUACACCAAUUAGUAUAAGAAAAAACACUUUUCAGGGAAAAAGUUACUUGAUCAUAUCCUUUGGUGCUAUUUAUGUGAUGAUUUAAUAGUGUUGAACGUUAUUUGUGAUAAUUUAUAUGUGCUGAACGUUACUUGAUCAAAAGUUACUUAAUGCAUUUAUAUGUGAUGAUUUAAUAGUGCUGAACGUAAGGUGCGUUGAACCGGUUGUGCGGGUAUCGUGGGCUUGACGUUAUGGAGUUUCAGAGAAGAAUUGUCAUAUCGCCUCAUCGGUGAUACUAACUCACUUGAAGAACACAUGACAAAGUGUGGCUCUGAUUUGAGAAAAGAAUGGUCUGUAUAUGCUAAGAAUCAUCACAAAUCACUGAGAUCACCUAAGUUUCUAUUUCAAGCAGCAGGACUCCAAAAUUCUAAGCACAAACGGUAGUUUUUUUACAAAUUUUCACUCCAAAUAACGUUAUCUAAGUCCUAAUUACCUACCUAAAUUUGGUUUGUUGAAAGCCGUCGUUUCUUUGCUGCACUUUAAGCUAUAUAGAAUAUUCCUUCAUAUAAAGGCCUGUUGAUUGCAAGUCUUUAAGAAAAUGUGACAAAACAAUAACGGCCUAUUGAUUGUAAGUCUUUACGAAAAUAUGAAAAAACAAAGAGAAUGUCUUGUAUUAUUUUAAGGGGAAGUUUGCAUAUGAUCAAUCUGACAACUAAACAAAUACACUUACAACUUGUGAUAAAGAAAACGAAUAUAGUAAAAUGAAAUCUAACGAAAAACUUAAGAAGCUAGCAAAGGUUGGUUAUAAAAAAUACUGCACUAAUACAAGAAGUAACGAGUUCCUAUUCUGAUGGCAAGUAUUACAUUUCCAUCAUUGCAUAUGUCAAUCUGGAAAAUCAAGAAGACCAUGAAUAACCAAAAAGAAUUGUCACACUUUGAUAUACUACAACCUCUAAACAUCAAUUACAAAGAGAACCCCGCUUAUCACAUAAUGUGAGCAUUGAUCAUGAUUGUGGAUAUGAGUUUGGUUAUAAAUAUAAGUUAUUAAAUAUAUUAUUUAAAUUUGUAUAUUACACGUGCAUGCAAGCAUCUUCAUAGCACUAGAUACUAUAAUACUCCGUCCGUUUCGAUUUAAUUGUCGUUGUAGAGGAAAAUUUUUGUUUCAAAAAAAGUAUCGUUUUAGAGUUUUAAUGCAAAAUUUAUUAAUAAGAUUCUCUACUUUAUGUUUUUAUUGGUUGAAAAAUGGUUAGGUGUAUAGGUAAUUAUGUUUUUGUUUUGGAAAUAUACAAAAUCAUAUGUUUUUUUAAUCCGUAUGCAUAAACCUAGAACGGCAAUUAAAAUGAAACGGAGGGAGUAGUUAAUAUCUCUAUAAUGUGUUAGAGAUAUUUAAUAAAAUAGCAAAGAAGAGAAGUGAACCCUAGAUAAAUAUAUUAUUUAUAUAAAUAUAAUUAUAUAUUUUUAUUUACAUAAUAGUUUGUAAAAAAAUAUUUAGUGUAAGUAAUAUCAUAAUUUUAUAAAAUACUGAAAUAAACUAGGCUGGUUUUCAACUUUCAAAAAUAAAAAAUAUUAUUAGUAAACUUAGAAAAGAAUAUAUCAAGAAUAUUCCUUUUUAGGAGAGAAAAUAAAAAAUACAUCGGAGACAAAUCUAUCUAUAUUACGAAAUUCCUCUAUUUUAGAGAAUAAAUAGAGGAAUACAUUAGAGAUGGUCUAAGGCAUGGCCGACGUAAAUGAUUGACGUUGAGAUUUCAGCUUUUCUAAUUCUUACUAUUCUAAUGUUUCAAUAUAAUUUGAAUAUUCCCUUUGUUUUAUAAUAUAAUGGUUUAAAAGUAUUUUUUGUUUCACUAUAUAAUUUAUUUUUAUAUUUCAAUGUAACUUUAUAUUUGUUGGAUAUUGUGUGGCCAACUAAAUUAUGUAAAUUACUGUGUAAUUGAUUAAAUUUAUAUAUUAAACGACAUUUUUCUAAAGUAAUAAUUUUUAAAUAUUAUAGAUUUUAAUUAAAACUGAUUACAUUUUGAAACAUAUAUAUAGUAAUCUAUAGAUACGAGGACAAAAUUGUAAAGUGGUCUCAACUUGAAUUUCUCUUAUUCUGUGCAUUCCUAAAUGGAAGGAGAUAAUCAACAUCAAAUAUUAUGUUGGUCUCAGUAUAUUAGAAAUCGUCGAACAGUAAACCAAUUAAGAUGAUGUAAGAAAGACAUAAAAAUGUAUUUCAUGUUAUCACAAAUAUAGAAUCAAUUGACAACAACUUAGUUAUGUCCAGCGUAGUACAACAAAGAAGAGUUUCCAUAUCUUUUAAUAUUAUAAUAUCUCACUAUAUUAGUGGCUAAAUCAGUUUUCUCUGGCACAAAUUCUUACUUCAUUCUUGGAGUUUAAGUUCUUCUAUCUGAUGAUAUUAGUAGUUUGAUCCCAAAAAAAA
This is a long non-coding RNA of Brassica rapa (field mustard), 4815 nucleotides long. RefSeq lists it as uncharacterized. The record is from RefSeq and is a predicted model, not a curated record. Lineage: Eukaryota; Viridiplantae; Streptophyta; Magnoliopsida; Brassicales; Brassicaceae.